RNAcentral lists this ribosomal RNA (493 nucleotides) under Vibrio sp. 5U4,2 24. RNAcentral's name for it is "bacterial SSU rRNA". It matches the Rfam family "Bacterial small subunit ribosomal RNA", at positions 380 to 875 of the family's 1533-position model. Lineage: Bacteria; Pseudomonadati; Pseudomonadota; Gammaproteobacteria; Vibrionales; Vibrionaceae. The record is from RNAcentral.
AGCCUGAUGCAGCCAUGCCGCGUGUGUGAAGAAGGCCUUCGGGUUGUAAAGCACUUUCAGCCGUGAGGAAGGCAUUGUACUUAAUACGUGCAGUGUUUGACGUUAGCGGCAGAAGAAGCACCGGCUAACUCCGUGCCAGCAGCCGCGGUAAUACGGAGGGUGCGAGCGUUAAUCGGAAUUACUGGGCGUAAAGCGCAUGCAGGCGGUCUGUUAAGCAAGAUGUGAAAGCCCCGGGCUUAACCUGGGAACCGCAUUUUGAACUGGCAGGCUAGAGUCUUGUAGAGGGGGGUAGAAUUUCAGGUGUAGCGGUGAAAUGCGUAGAGAUCUGAAGGAAUACCGGUGGCGAAGGCGGCCCCCUGGACAAAGACUGACGCUCAGAUGCGAAAGCGUGGGGAGCAAACAGGAUUAGAUACCCUGGUAGUCCACGCCGUAAACGAUGUCUACUUGGAGGCUGAGUCGAACGGGCUUCGACUAACGCGUUAAUGACCGCCUG